Molecule: ribosomal RNA, 446 nt
Filed under: uncultured bacterium
Lineage: Bacteria
Description: bacterial SSU rRNA
Rfam family: Bacterial small subunit ribosomal RNA
Source: RNAcentral
CGCCAGACUCCUACGGGAGGCAGCAGUGGGGAAUAUUGCACAAUGGGGGAAACCCUGAUGCAGCAACGCCGCGUGAGUGAAGAAGUCAUUCGUGAUGUAAAGCUCUAUCAGCAGGGAAGAAAAUGACGGUACCUGAGUAAGAAGCCCCGGCUAACUACGUGCCAGCAGCCGCGGUAAUACGUAGGGGGCAAGCGUUAUCCGGAUUCACUGGGUGUAAAGGGAGCGUAGACGGCGACGCAAGUCUGGAGUGAAAGCCCGGGGCCCAACCCCCGGACUGCUCUGGAAACUGUACGGCUGGAGUGCAGGAGAGGUAAGUGGAAUUCCUAGUGUAGCGGUGAAAUGCGUAGAUAUCAGGAGGAACACCGGCGGCGAAGGCGGCCUGCUGGACCGCGACUGACGUUGAGGCUCGAAAGCGUGGGGAGCGAACAGGAUUAGAUACCCUGGUA